GUUUAGUACAUGGAAUUGGUUUGUAUGAUCAGGGUAAUAAGGUAGAGAGAUUGGGAGUUUCUAUGUUUUUCAAACCUCUUCCACAUAUUCAGUUUUAUGUUUUGCUUGAGGGCAAGCAAAGACUAAGUUUGGGGGAGUUGAUAUAUCAUGGUUUUUACUAAUUUCUAACAUAGUUUCAUAAUAGUUUUUGGAGUCUUUCUAGUAUUUUUUGUAUGUUUUGAGUCAUUACUGUUUUACAGUUUAGGUGCCAAACCUCUUGUGUCGCCAUUGUCCAUGAUAAUAUCUCUUGC
RNAcentral lists this small RNA (290 nucleotides) under Arabidopsis thaliana (thale cress). Its description in RNAcentral is "ATSL262550". The record is from RNAcentral. Lineage: Eukaryota; Viridiplantae; Streptophyta; Magnoliopsida; Brassicales; Brassicaceae.